RNAcentral lists this long non-coding RNA (623 nucleotides) under Vigna radiata. RNAcentral describes it as "long non-coding RNA (VRAD_LNC012029)". Lineage: Eukaryota; Viridiplantae; Streptophyta; Magnoliopsida; Fabales; Fabaceae. The record is from RNAcentral.
AAAGUGGGAAAGGAAGGAGAAGGGAAAAGAAAACUCCCCUGAUCAUGGUGGCAGUUGCCAAUUUUGGACUUUCAGGGAGAUGUCUUCCACCACAGGAUUCAGCAAAGAGGUGUUGAGGAAGAACUGCUUCAUCCUCCAGAUUUGAUCAAGCAGGCAGAUGUCCUCCACAGCUAGAUCUAAGAAGCAGUGAUUGUUGAUGAGUGGGUUCAGCUGGUGCCCAUUGAUAUUCAGGCUUUUGUGUACACUGGCACUCUUUUCUUCCACCAUGGGUGUUUAUUGGUCAAAUUCAUAUGUACCUCCUACAACAGGGUUAGUGCAAUAUGGUUCCACAAAAAUAACAUGCAGGGGUAUAACAUCCAAUCCCAGUGUAACAGGCUGAACCUCAGAUAAACCCUCAGAACAUGAAUCAAACUCAAAUGUAGAAACAAUAUCAACAAUAGUCUCAGAUUCAUGUUCAGUGCAUGGAGAACAAACAUUCAUAUGUGAUAGCAAAAAGUGGUUCUCAUCAUGCAAAGAGAGAAAAUUAGAAGCAUGCUCAUCAACAAUACAAUCAUCAACAUACCUAUCAAUAGCAUAAUCAUCAACAAUAGAAUCAAUCUUAGGUAUGCUUACUUCCACCUCCC